AGUUGACUCAGGACAAAUGAGCUUCCUGGAAUGCAAAACUUUUAUUUUUAAAAUUGAGACAAAUAGAGCAAACUAGGAUGAGCUGGUCACCCUGCAAAUGAGACAUGACAACUAAAUGCAAGAGAGGAUCCUGGAUGGCACCAGGAUUUCCAUUAUGCAUAUAAUGGUACACUUCACAGUGUCCCACAGGUCUCUUAAGAUGCUAGAGAAGUAUAGCCAAGAAAGAAAAGAGUAAUGAGACUUAUCUCCAUAUCCUCCCAUCGGUUUCUCAACUAGAUCUGAAAAAUGCUACAGGCAGCCAUACGAAGAGCACCGGAAUGCAAAGGCCCACACCUAACCCAUCAGCAAAUCCUGGUGACUCUCUCCUUAAUAUAACUCCUAUCUCCACUGCCACCCUGCACUUGGACGGCUAU
Molecule: long non-coding RNA, 413 nt
Organism: Homo sapiens (human)
Lineage: Eukaryota; Metazoa; Chordata; Mammalia; Primates; Hominidae
Exons: 4
Source: RefSeq, a predicted model, not a curated record